UAGGGAAUUUUCGUCAAUGGGCGCAAGCCUGAACGAGCGAUGCCGCGUGAGUGAAGAAGGCCUUCGGGUCGUAAAGCUCUGUUGCGGGGGAAAAAAGGCAGCAUCAGGAAAUGGGUGCUGACUGAUGGUGCCCCGCCAGAAAGUCACGGCUAACUACGUGCCAGCAGCCGCGGUAAUACGUAGGUGGCGAGCGUUAUCCGGAAUGAUUGGGCGUAAAGGGUGCGCAGGCGGUCCUGCAAGUCUGGAGUGAAACGCAUGAGCUCAACUCAUGCAUGGCUUUGGAAACUGGAGGACUGGAGAGCAGGAGAGGGCGGUGGAACUCCAUGUGUAGCGGUAAAAUGCGUAGAUAUAUGGAAGAACACCAGUGGCGAAGGCGGCCGCCUGGCCUGUUGCUGACGCU
This 400-nucleotide ribosomal RNA is filed under the name uncultured bacterium. Its description in RNAcentral is "bacterial SSU rRNA". It matches the Rfam family "Bacterial small subunit ribosomal RNA", at positions 355 to 747 of the family's 1533-position model. The record is from RNAcentral.